Molecule: ribosomal RNA, 413 nt
Filed under: uncultured bacterium
Lineage: Bacteria
Description: bacterial SSU rRNA
Rfam family: Bacterial small subunit ribosomal RNA
Source: RNAcentral
CCUACGGGAGGCAGCAGUAGGGAAUAUUGGGCAAUGGACGAGAGUCUGACCCAGCCAUGCCGCGUGCAGGAAGACGGCGUUCUGCGUUGUAAACUGCUUUUAUCUGGGAAGAAAAGGCCCCUGCGGGGGACAUUGCCGGUACCAGAUGAAUAAGCACCGGCUAACUCCGUGCCAGCAGCCGCGGUAAUACGGAGGGUGCAAGCGUUGUCCGGAUUUAUUGGGUUUAAAGGGUGCGUAGGCGGCUGUUUAAGUCAGUGGUGAAAGACUCCGGCUCAACCGGGGCAGUGCCAUUGAUACUGGACAGCUUGAGUAUUGGAGGGGUACAUGGAAUUGACGGUGUAGCGGUGAAAUGCAUAGAUACCAUCAGGAACACCGAUAGCGAAGGCAUUGUACUGGCCAAUAACUGACGCUGA